UUGGAGGGCAAGUCUGGUGCCAGCAGCCGCGGUAAUUCCAGCUCCAAUAGCGUAUAUUAAAAUUGUUGCAGUUAAAAAGCUCGUAGUCGGAUUUUUGUUGACUGCUUCUGCAUAGGCUCUGUGUCUAUGCAGAAUGCGUGUCGGCUUCCUCUGGAUCACCCUCGUGGUGUAUUCAGAGCUGUUACUUUGAGAAAAUUAGAGUGUUUCAAGCAGGUUGUUGCCUUGAAUACUCCAGCAUGGAAUAACAAGAAUGACUUUUGUCCUUCUUGUUGGUUUGA
This 278-nucleotide ribosomal RNA is filed under the name fungal sp. RNAcentral describes it as "partial 18S ribosomal RNA". It matches the Rfam family "Eukaryotic small subunit ribosomal RNA", at positions 548 to 852 of the family's 1831-position model. Lineage: Eukaryota; Fungi. The record is from RNAcentral.